ACACUUCGGUAUCGAGGCUCGUAAAAUGAGGCGUAACAAUUACCGUUUUAUCUCUGGUUCUUCCCUAUAAAUAUAGUUUUUUUUUUCAAAUAAAGACAUCCACUCAUCCAUAGUAACUUUUUACGGUCCACCGAGGAAGGUUGAUUGGGGUUAAGGGUUCCCCAACCACAUAUAUAAAUAAAAAUCUAGAAUACGGGAAAGAAGGGGAACAUAACAUAAACCUUACUUCCAAAAAAGAAACAAUGCAAAAGUGAAUACAAAAGAAGUCAAGGCAAUAAAUAGAACAGUACUACUUCCCUGUAAAAUUAGACUGUCCAUGUUUGUUGAUCUGCACUAGUGUCCUUAUCUUUCGUGAUAGAUAGAUGGUCUAUACUUCUGAUAGUGUCGGUGAUCCCAACCCUCUGAAGCAAGCGAGUCUACAGUCUGGUCCCCCUCUUUGUAGAUGUGGGAAACUAUUUCUCUGUCAAAGGAAAUGAGGUCUCUAAUCUGCCUAAGAGUGCCCUGAAUCUUCCAUGGUCCUCCACCGCUGGUGAUGCAGUGAAUAGCCACGGUCGAAUCUGCCUUAUCCCAAAUAGCUAAUAACCCAAUUCCUUUAGCCAAUAGAAUCCCACCCAGUAUAGUUCUGAGCUUGACUUCCAAAUCAAACAUUCAUACGAUGCUGAGAGUGUCCUGAUGCAAUGUCCUGUGUGGUCUUUAAUGAUGGCCCCACCACUUGCAAAUCCAUCCUUGAUGCAUCCAUUAGUGUUGAUCUUGUAAGAUCCCACUGGUGGAGUGCAGUAAACAACCAUAAUAUGCGAUAGUAAAGAAUGGAGAGCCAUAGAAAUACUAAGAAGUGGUGCAAGUGUUAAGUCACUUCUCUACUGCAAGGGUUUAAGAAGUUCUCGCAUAUGAAGGAGAGAGACAAUGUGGUAUACCUUCCAAAUAAUCCAUCUAGACACACCAUGCAGAUCUCUCUAUACUUUGCAUCAUUCAUUUCGGUCCAUAAAAACCAGAAAUCAGUAGAGGAAUGAUGGUGCAAAUAUGUCCACAGCGAAUAUACUGUCUAGAAUAUCUCCAUCUCUGGAAUCUCUGUUUGAGCCCCCUCUCUUGAUCUCAUAGAUAUCUGAAAAAUGUCUCCAAAGUACUGCCAUACCUGAUCAGAAAUCCUAUUGCAAGUGAAAAUAUGGCUGAUGAUCUAAAUCUCAGAGCACCACUGACAUCGAUAGGCCAACUAACACCCAAUCCUCCUUUGAAUGACUACAACUAUUGGAAUGAGAUCCUGCUAUAAUCUCCAAUAGAAAAAUGAAAUAGAGGUAGGCAAAGUGGAGCUCCAUAAUAAUCACGAGUCCUAAACUGGUGAAUCAAACGGAUUAGCUGCCAUGCUGAAUUAAUAGCAAAGCUACCAUCCAAAGUAGUCCUCCAAACAAUAUGGUCUAGGACAUUUACACAUACAGGUAUUCCCCCAAUCUGCUUCGCCAUGUAAGGAGAAAGAGCCUAUAAUAGUAAUUAUCCAAAAUCCCACCCAGUGUCAUAAAAAAAAUCCUGCACCCUCACAAAUAUGUGUUUCCUGUUUGGGAAUAGAGAUGCCAUAUAAUAUUACCUAUCCAGCAAUCGUGCCAAGAGAACAUCUGUCCUGCGCUAAGGUACCAUGCAAUGUAUGGCUUAGGAUGUGGCGCAACACUUUUCAACCUCUUCCAGGUAGGAGAUGCUGAGUAGGGAACUACUGCAAGUGAUGGAUGAGUCCCCAUACAAUAUUUUCCCAUUAAGAACUGAGCCCAAAGAGAAUUAUCAGAUCGAAACAACUACCAAAGCUUCAUAGAAAAAGUAUCCACAAUAUCCUGUAGUCUCUUGAAUCCUAGUCCACCUUCGUUUGUUGGAAAGCAAAUCUCCUUACAUGCCUAAUCCUUGGAAUCCCAUAGAAACCGUGCAAAGAUGUUAUCCAACUUUUAUAGUGCAACCUCGGGAGGCCACAUAAUUUAAAAAAGAUAGAGUAAUUUGGCCCCUAUGUGAUAGUAAAUGAGAGGUCUAGCCUGAUAUCCUGCUCCUGACCUUCAUGAUAAGGUCAUCAUAUAAGAAACUCUUUUUAGUCCCCUUAAAUAAGGGGACUACAAUACAAGUAAACAACUACUACUGAUGAAUGAACCCAUUCAAGAAUACAAGUCUCUUUAUCUGAAUAUCUCGUACCAGUUUAGGUAGUAUAAGACCACUUUUGUCUAUAUUCACUAGCUGGCCAGAAACCCUCUCGUAAUGCUCCAAAUAGUCGAAGACCCUCCUAAUAGACUAUUUCUGGCCAUUCGAGAAUAUGGUCGUGUUGUCAGCAAAAGAAAGGUGUGAGAUAUUAGUGCUACCUCCACGCUAAUAUCGCAUAGUGGAAUAGGCUUGAAACCUCUAAGUUGAAAGGUGAGAGAAAUAGUCUGCAGUAAUAAUGAAUAGGGAAUGUGAGAUGGGAUCACCCUGUCUGAGCCCAGGUGAGGAUGGGAAGAAACCACAUGGAUGGCAUUUAGAAGCAUUGAGAACUGACACUCGAAAAUGCACCAUUUGAUCAUAUCAAUCCUCAAUUGAUCAAAUCCAAAUACCUCCAGUAUAGAAUAAAUUACUCCCUAAUCCAUACGAUUGUAAGUCUUAGCCAUGUCAAGCUUCAGCAUAGUAUUUCCCAUCGUACUUUAUUAUCCAGAGUGUGGAGAAGCUCCUAAGUCAAUAACACAUUAUCACCUUGAAGGUGACCAAGGAUAAAAUCACCCUGAUGCGGAGAGAUAGUACAGGGCAGUGAUGAGCUCAAUUUGGUGUUCAACAGCUUAGUGGUCUAACAAAGGCUGAUAGGUCUGAAUUCUAUCUAUCGACAAGCAUUCUCCCUUUUCGAGAGUGAAACAAUAGAGGUAGCGACGAAACCACGAGACAGAUGUCCACCCUCAAAAAAACCAACGAAUGCAUUGUAAUGAUCCUCCUGUAUGAUAUCCCAACAAUGCUAAAAGAAUAAUGAUGAAAAUCUAUCUAGGUCUGUGACAUUAUCAUAAGACCGCUUCCCAAACCUCAUGAAUCAAAAGGAGACAACUAAGUGCUAUAUUAUCCCCCUCCAUCAGUAGCAGCCUGGGUAUGAUGUCUGGAUGGAUGGGAUCCAGGGGCUAUAAUGAAGCAGAUAAUAAGUCAUGAAAAAUGAUGUAGCCGAUCUUUGAAUGUCAUCAGUAGAAGAUAAGACUUUUCCUGCUUGAGUCCUGUAGGAGAUUUGAUCCGAUGUCCCUGAACCAUCACAUAAAAAUACAAGGUAUUGUGAUCUCCUCCACACACCCAACAUAAACUGGUCUUCUACUUCCAGGAGCCCUCCUAAAUAGAAAAAGUCCACUUCAGAUCAGCCUGUACCUGAUGUAAUAAAUCACAAUGCUUUGGUGUAGGGUCACACUCAAAAUCAAUCUCUGAUUGGUUGACCCUCUCCUCAGAUUCCCUCACCUAUUGGAAAAUAUAACCAAAUAUCCAUUGAUUCCACUAAAGUAGACCCUGUGUCAACUUGAAAAACUUCUUCCAGAGAGCGGACAUCUUUACAAAAUGAGUCGAAAGUGACCACUUCUGAGAGACAAUGUCUGAGAAAUCAUAGUGCUUUGUCGAUGCACUGAGGAAUCAUAAAGGCCUGGCUCCUAGAUCCUCAUCAGAUGUCCACGGUAGAAACAAAGGAGAAUGAUCAGAUGAAGUCCAAUUCAAAGGCCUCAUUGUAGGUUGUCGAUAAAAAGUUGCAGUUAAUCAAAACUUAUCUAGUCUUUUCAUGACCCAACCAUUGGUCUAAGUAUAUCAAUUCCCAUAGAAACCAGCAUUCUCCAACCUACAAUCCAGCAUCAUAUUAGAAAAAGCAACAGAACCUCGAUCACGAGUGUUGUGACUAGUGCGUUCACCAUGAUGUGCAAUAACAUUAAAGUCUCUCCCAACUAGCUAACGAUCUUACAUGGAGAAGGAAAUGUAAAGUCUUGCCUACACAUCCCUCCUGGUAGCAGCAUCAUAUGAGACAUAGGCAGGGAUCAAAUAGAUGGGACGCGCUAGUCUGGGAUCUUCAAAUCUAACGUGAAAGAACUAGGGAUGAUCAUGAAUAACAGUAACAAUAGUCUCCAUAUUCCAAAAAAAAUAGAUUUUGUUCGACUCAUUCUGUACUCCAGUAUCAAAGCAUAGAUAUUGUUGAAUAAAUGCAAGUCUGUGUUAAAGAAUAAAAGGGACCAGAAUAACCAAGAGAUAAACCUGAUAAAGCCGAAUCAAUUUCUUCAGGUGCCUGCGAGUAGAUAAACUAACUAUACUUAUCAUAUUCCAUAUGAUGGCACUCAUAGGGAUAGGAAAUAUGAGCAGAUACCAUGUAACUGACUCCUAGUGAUCCUCUUGCUUGAAUGUAGAGUGUUAGUAACCCGUGGAUAUUUCUUCCGUGUAACUCAGACAAAACAAUCAUCCCCAGUCCGCCCUGCCAUACCAACCAAAUCCUCAACAGAAGAUCUACAAGAUAUUUAUUGUUGUUAUACAUCAAUCUGUAAUAUAUUCUCUGCAUCUGACUACUCAAAAUAUAGAGAAGGAAUAGAUGACUCUAUGUUCUGCUAACAAAAAGGGAGAGCAGUAGUGGUAAUAGUUUCCUAUGUCUGAACCAAAGAUAGAUCGAUGAUCUAUGCAGCUCUAAUAUCCUCAUAAUCUAAGUCGUGUGGUAUCAAUGAUUCUCAGGCUAUAAAAUUCACAAGAUGAUCAAAAUAUAAAGUAGAGAUGGUCCUAAUAACCUGGGAAAAUCCAUAGUGGUAGCAACUAUAGUAGAAGUAGAUGGCAAUGCAGAGCUAAUUAGAGGAGCAACUGAACUGAGAGCUGGCUGAAUUGCAUGGCUCGUGAGAUGUACUAAUGGAACAACUGAGUGAACAUGACUAUAUGUACCAGUCGGGACUGGUAUAUCAUCUGUAUUAACUGGUGGAGCAGGCUGUAAAGUAGACUGAUUCUAUGUGCCCAAAUUGUCACUAAAUUGCUAUCCACUCGAUUCUCUAUGGACUGGAACCCAUUGCUUAGAAAGCUUAAAAAAACCUCCUUACCCAUAGUAGGCCUAGGAAUAUGGUCUUCAACAAUAAUUGCUACUUGUGGUGGUGCUCCAAAAAAAUAGUGCUAAUCGAUAUGCCUAAAGUGUCUAAGGCAAAAACAAUAGUUUGGCUUCUUAUCAUGUAGGACAGUCUGCCAGUACCCACCACGCUUCUUCCUUCAAUCCAAAUCUUAUCAGGGAGCUUAUUCACCGAAUCAACCUUUAUACAUACCCAUGCCUCACUAGGUCGGCAUAAAUCUGAUGUUGACUCAUCAAUGCAAAGUAAAACUCCAAUUACCUUAGGUAAUGCAAAUAAAUGGCUCUUGGCCUGAAAGUAAAUGGGUAGUAGUAGAAAGGAAACCCAUACAACAACAAUAAGGGUCUCAUGUUUUGGGCUGAAAGUAGGCAUCCAUUUAAAAGCCGUGAGUAGUCAUUCUCAUGCACCAAAUGGAUUAAAAUAUGUGAUGUAUCAAUAAGACCUAUCAUAAAAUCACCAUUAAAACUAAAUUUUUGAAAAAUGUCAAGUACCUUAGCUAUGGGAGGUUUGCAGUGAGAGAAUUUAUCUACAAGUGUGAACUUGUAUGACUCAAUCGGAGUUCCUCCUCUUUCUCGAUAAAGGAGUCAGGAAGUUCCCCCAUAUGCAUGAAUGGUUCCUUAGGACCAAACUUGAGUUCUGGAAUCCUAUGAGACCUGAAGGAUAGGUGCAAAAUAUUUUCUCUAACUCCGCUCGACCUGAGAAAUAAAUGGUUUGCUUGAGAGGACAGUAGCAUAAGAUUUCUUUCCAUUGGCCUAUGAUGUAUGACCAACUGGUAACAAUUUAGCUUGAGUAGGGGGCUCAAAAAGCAGUAACUAUCCUAGGGGUACAACGCGGAAUGGUGAAAUCUGGGCCUUUGGGACUGUGUGUAGACUAACUUGAUUAAUCAGAUAAGUAAAGGCCGGGGAUUGCGAUGAUCAGCUGUUGGUCUAGUAUUCUGAUUUUCGUGUGAAGACACGUUUAAUGUCACAUUUUCAUUUAAAUUAGAUGCCAAGUUGACAAAACUAGGGAUUUUUGGAUUUGUUGAGGUCAUUGGUAGAGUAAUAGUAGCCUAAUCCUUCGCACAAAUUGCUGAAAUGGCAGGCUCAUUUAUCAUGAAAUUUGGCAUGAGUCCCAAUGCAACAAUACCAACCAAAUUAGGCUCAAUGGAUAUCAACCUAGGGGUUUCAGGCUUCCGGAUUCAAUAACAAUGGUUUCGUGCUUGGAAUCCGACCAGAAAUAACAUAAUUUAUUAGGGCAGUUUGUAGAAGGUCAAAGGAGGUUGACCUUGUAAUAGGAGGAAUUCAUGGAGUAAUUGGAGCCUGACCUAGUGUUGAUUAUUCUUGACUUGAAUUUCCUAUGGUGUAAUUUGUGGAGCGGAAUAGGUUUGGACCUUCAGUUGGUUGAAAAUCUGAGUUCGCGCUCGACCGCAUAGAUCUUGAGCUCAAUCCAAAUAUCGAUUCGUUUGGUUGAUAAAUUGCUGCAAUUGAUGAAGGACCCAUGUUCAACAUUAAUUGAAGAUUUUAUUGAACAUUAAUUGAAGAUUUUAUGCUUGAAUUGAUGAAUUGAAGCCCUGUAGAAUGAUCAAUUGAAAGGGGAUCGAUCAGUGCUUCUUUGGCAUGAAUUAUUGAGCGUGAUUAUACUAUUUUUGGACAAAAUUGAUGAUGACCCAUGGUUACAUUAGAUGCAUCAUGAAGAGGUGGUGCUAGUACAAGUGAUCCACAAUCGUGGGUCAUCGCGCUGAGCCAAAAAAUAGGUUUGAAGCAGCCAAACUCGCUGUAAAGGAAAAUGGCUGUAGGUCUUGAUUUUGAGUUUCAUUUGAUGUUAUUAACACAUUUAUACGAGCGCAAUGAGGAUCCAGAUCGGCCUGGAGGGU
RNAcentral lists this long non-coding RNA (6888 nucleotides) under Olea europaea subsp. europaea. The record is from RNAcentral. Lineage: Eukaryota; Viridiplantae; Streptophyta; Magnoliopsida; Lamiales; Oleaceae.